GAUUAACGCUGGCGGCGUGCCUAACACAUGCAAGUCGAACGAGGUAGCAAUACCUAGUGGCAGACGGGCGAGUAACGCGUGGUCAACCUACCGUUGAGUGGGGGAUAACUAGCCGAAAGGUUAGCUAAUACCGCAUACGUCUCCGAGGGGCAUCCCUUGGCGAUAAAAGGAGCAAUCCGCUCGAUGACGGGACCGCGUCCCAUUAGCUAGAUGGUGGGGUAACGGCCUACCAUGGCACCGAUGGGGAGCUGGUUUGAGAGAGCGACCAGCCACACUGGGACUGAGAAACGGCCCAGACUCCUACGGGAGGCAGCAGUGAGGAAUUUUCCGCAAUGGGCGCAAGCCUGACGGAGCGACGCCGCGU
RNAcentral lists this ribosomal RNA (364 nucleotides) under uncultured bacterium. RNAcentral describes it as "bacterial SSU rRNA". It matches the Rfam family "Bacterial small subunit ribosomal RNA", at positions 28 to 402 of the family's 1533-position model. The record is from RNAcentral.